AUACGUAGGUGGCAAGCGUUGUCCGGAAUUAUUGGGCGUAAAGCGCGCGCAGGUGGUUCCUUAAGUCUGAUGUGAAAGCCCCCGGCUCAACCGGGGAGGGUCAUUGGAAACUGGGGAACUUGAGUGCAGAAGAGGAUAGUGGAAUUCCAAGUGUAGCGGUGAAAUGCGUAGAGAUUUGGAGGAACACCAGUGGCGAAGGCGACUGUCUGGUCUGUAACUGACUCUGAGGCGCGAAAGCGUGGGGAGCAAACAGGAUUAGAUACCCUGGUAGUCCACGCCGUAAACGAUGAGUGCUAAGUGUUGGGGGGUUUCCGCCCCUCAGUGCUGCAGCUAACGCAUUAAGCACUCCGCCUGGGGAGUACGGUCGCAAGACUGAAACUCAAAUGAAUUGACGGGG
RNAcentral lists this ribosomal RNA (397 nucleotides) under uncultured bacterium. RNAcentral's name for it is "partial 16S ribosomal RNA". It matches the Rfam family "Bacterial small subunit ribosomal RNA", at positions 523 to 918 of the family's 1533-position model. The record is from RNAcentral.